UUAACAAAAAAUAAGUUAUUUUCUCGUUUUUUUUUUGUAUUUCUACUCCAAAAUUGAAUUUCCUCGGAAUUCUGCGUUAAAAAAGUUUAGAGAUUUUUGCCAAAAAUUCUUUCAACAAAUACAACUUUCAGUUCGCCAAACAUAAAUAAAACAAUAACAAUAAACGUGAAUGCGCGUGGUUUAACAAUUUAAUAAAAGUUUUAAGAUUUCAUUGCAUUAAUGUAAUUUAUUUAUUUGGGCGGAUUGAGCACAGGAUGGCAUUUGCCGGCUUGGAGCCGCCUUGGUGUGUAUUUUGACGUUGGUGUGGGUUGGGCGGUGGGCGUGUCGCAGAUGGUGCUUUUCGCUUGCGUUUUCUUGCAUGCAAAUUUGCGCAUUGGUAAUGCCACAAACAACUACAACACAUUUCCUACUGCGUAGCCGAAAGCAAUUUGAAUGAUUGAUUGACAAACGCGCCGCUCUGGCUUACGCCGUCAUGUCAGUCAGCCCACCAACGCGACGGCAAUUCAUAGUGUCAACUUUCGCGUGUUUCACUGAAUUUUCGCACCUUUCUUGCUCGAGAGCAAAAGUCGACAGAAUUUGUUUAGUAACAUUUUUUCCAAAAUAUUUUUUAAGAAUUCAUAUUAAUUUUAUUUUAAAUUUCGUUGAUUUGUAGUUUUGCACUUUCCCCCAAAACGAACUUGACGAAACUUUUAAAAUUUUCAAAACAUAACAAAAAAUUUUAUUUUGUUUUAAAUUUUUGCUUAAAGGCUGACUUUCGGCAUUACGACGUACACGCACGACCAAGUAAUUGUUUUGCUUGCGUUUUCAAUGAGAAACUAAACUAUUGUAAGACUCGGUGUUGCAUUUUGACUGUCGCUACCAACCAGCAGGCAUUCCAGUGCAAACGGACAUACGCACAUACGCGUGUAGUAUUUAACCAGGAGGGUUGGACAAGUGCUGCUCGUAGCAGCAGUCGUGAGAGCAGGGAGGAUUGCUAGCAGUUACCAGGAGGUAUUCACGUCUCCCUGUUGUUGUUGCUCAAGUCUGCAACUGAAUGCAUGGCAGGAUACAACAAAUCGUGGUGAGCGAGUGGCGGAGGCAGAGAGAGGCCAUACUGUGUUAGUUGAGUGCACACGUUCAUUGUAAGAGCCAUGGGGCACGGCAAGAACGCAAAAAGCAAUGUGCAUGCAACAUGCUGGCAGAAACAACAACAGUUGUAUGCAACGUACACACACACGCAUAUCUGGUUACGUGCAGACGAAGGAGAAUUCGAAAUGUCAAAUAUGCAAGAUGUAAAAUGCGCGAUACGGUCCAGCAAUCUCCUUCUAGGCACUGAUAAGAUUUUAAUAGACAGCAUUUUCGCCAUGGGAUUUUACUAAUUUUACACCUCUAACCUGCACAUAGCAGAUUUGUAAAAAAAAGCUGAAGCUUAUUGGCUUCAUUCGCAAUAUCUUACAAGACCUCGACAAAAAUCUCCUUCCGUCCAUUCCGCCGAAAUACCUCGUCAGAUGUUUUCAAGAUUUAACCUUUUAUGAGAAGCGAUGACAGGACGUAGAACAAUCUAUUACUCACCAUACUUAGUAACUCAGCAUUUAUCGGAAUAUUGCUUUUUGACCGUGACUUUUCCCGCAAUAAAUUUCCAUAAACAGUUAUAAUAAGCUGUGGAAUUGAUUUCUACGGUCUCAAUUUAACACAACAUUAGUUUUCUUCAUAUAAUAAUAAUGCAAGCAAAGAGUUUUCUUUGUACCAACAAUCGAGCAAACCGAGCCAGAAAUAAAGUCAUAUUCGAAUAGAUCGCUUUCUAGUCCACUUCUUGGAUCGACAAGUUAUCCACCUAAUAACCUGCGAAAACAGAGCUAUCUAUGUUUCUGGGAGUUCAUUGCGUACACACAUCGUUGCAAUACUCUACCAUUCAAUGUUUGCUUCCCUUUUACCUCCUUAGGGUAAAAUUUGGGAAAAUCUUUUCCUAUUUUCACCUUCAAAGCCUGUGGGCUUCCGUCAGUCAUUCGCGUCAAAAUUGGUUUAUAUACUAAUAAGUAUGUAGCUAACUUAUUACUACAUACAUAUAUCGCUGAUAUGCAUGCCCCGUCUCAUCAAUCCCAAUACUUUUUGGGAAAAAUUCACUUUUACCAUCAUCGUCCUACUUCCCCGAUUUUGCUCAGGGAGACUACCAAUUAUUGGAGGAAAUUCAUUUAUAGAUGAACACAUAUGUAUGUAUGUACAUAUUUUGAUUGUAUUUCGCCAAAAAUUAAGUUUGUUUUUCUCG
Molecule: long non-coding RNA, 2245 nt
Organism: Ceratitis capitata (Mediterranean fruit fly)
Lineage: Eukaryota; Metazoa; Arthropoda; Insecta; Diptera; Tephritidae
Exons: 3
Source: RefSeq, a predicted model, not a curated record